Molecule: ribosomal RNA, 253 nt
Filed under: uncultured prokaryote
Description: partial 16S ribosomal RNA
Rfam family: Bacterial small subunit ribosomal RNA
Source: RNAcentral
ACAGAGGUGCCAAGCGUUAGGCGGAAUCACUGGGCUUAAAGCGUGUGUAGGCGGAAUGGUAAGUACCUUGUGAAAUCCCACGGCUCAACCGUGGAACUGCUUGGUAUACUGCUUUUCUUGAGCCACUUAGGGGCAACCGGAACAAACGGUGGAGCGGUGAAAUGCGUAGAUAUCGUUUGGAACGCCAAUGGUGAAAACAGGUUGCUGGGAGUGUGCUGACGCUGAGACACGAAAGCCAGGGGAGCAAACGGGA